CCAAUAGCGUAUAUUAAAGUUGUUGCAGUUAAAAAGCUCGUAGUUGAACUUCGGGAUCAAUGGAUUGGUCAUGCCGAUGGUAUGUACUGGUCAUAUUGGUUCUCACCUUCUAAGGAACCAUAAUGUCAUUUAUUUGAUGUUGUGGGGAAUUAGGACUGUUACCUUGAAAAAAUUAGAGUGUUUAAAGCAGGCUAACGCUUGAAUACAUUAGCAUGGAAUAAUGAAAUAGGACAUCGCAUUCUAUUUUGUUGGUUUCUAGGAUCGAUGUAAUGAUUAAUAGGGAUAGUUGGGGGGAUUAGUAUUCAAUUGUCAGAGGUGAAAGUCUUGGAUUUAUUGAAGACUAACUACUGCGAAAGCAUUUGCCAAGGAUGUUUUCAUUAAUCAAGAACGAAAGUUAGGGGAUCGAAGACGAUCAGAUACCGUCGUAGUCUUAACCAUAAACUAUGCCGACUAGGGAUCGGAUGAUGUUGAUUUUUUAAUGACUCAUUCGGCACCUUACG
This 500-nucleotide ribosomal RNA is filed under the name uncultured Glomus. Its description in RNAcentral is "SSU rRNA". It matches the Rfam family "Eukaryotic small subunit ribosomal RNA", at positions 591 to 1092 of the family's 1831-position model. The record is from RNAcentral. Lineage: Eukaryota; Fungi; Glomeromycota; Glomeromycetes; Glomerales; Glomeraceae.